Molecule: transfer RNA, 73 nt
Filed under: Stegodyphus dumicola
Lineage: Eukaryota; Metazoa; Arthropoda; Arachnida; Araneae; Eresidae
Description: tRNA-Thr
Rfam family: tRNA
About the family: Transfer RNA (tRNA) molecules are approximately 80 nucleotides in length.
Source: RNAcentral
GCCUUCGUAGUGUAGUGGUCAGCACGCUGGGCGCGUAUUCCAGAGGUCCGUGGUUCGAUUCCUGGCGAAGGCG